UACGUAGGGUGCAAGCGUUAAUCGGAAUUACUGGGCGUAAAGCGUGCGCAGGCGGCUUUGCAAGACAGAUGUGAAGUCCCCGGGCUCAACCUGGGAACUGCAUUUGUGACUGCAUGGCUAGAGUACGGUAGAGGGGGAUGGAAUUCCGCGUGUAGCAGUGAAAUGCGUAGAUAUGCGGAGGAACACCGAUGGCGAAGGCAAUCCCCUGGACCUGUACUGACGCUCAUGCACGAAAGCGUGGGGGGCAAACAGG
RNAcentral lists this ribosomal RNA (253 nucleotides) under uncultured bacterium. Its description in RNAcentral is "partial 16S ribosomal RNA". It matches the Rfam family "Bacterial small subunit ribosomal RNA", at positions 524 to 776 of the family's 1533-position model. The record is from RNAcentral.